Molecule: ribosomal RNA, 484 nt
Filed under: uncultured bacterium
Lineage: Bacteria
Description: partial 16S ribosomal RNA
Rfam family: Bacterial small subunit ribosomal RNA
Source: RNAcentral
AGUGAACGCUGGCGGCGUGCUUAACACAUGCAAGUCGAACGAGAACGGAUUAUAGCUUGCUAUAAUUGUCAGCUAAGUGGCGCACGGGUGAGUAAUGUAUAGGUAAUAUGCCUCUUACUAAGGGACAACAAAUGGAAACGUUUGCUAAUACCUUAUACUCCUUAUUAACAUAAGUUAAUAAGGGACAGAUUUAUUGGUAAGAGAUUAGCCUGUAUUGUAUCAGUUAGUUGGUGGGGUAAUGGCUUACCAAGACUAUGACACAUAACUGGUUUGAGAGGAUGAUCAGUCACACUGGAACUGAGACACGGUCCAGACUCCUACGGGAGGCAGCAGUGGGGAAUAUUGCACAAUGGACGAAAGUCUGAUGCAGCAACGCCGCGUGGAGGAUGACACAUUUCGGUGCGUAAACUCCUUUUAUAUGAGAAGAUAAUGACGGUAUUAUAUGAAUAAGCACCGGCUAACUCCGUGCCAGCCGCCGCGGUAA